RNAcentral lists this ribosomal RNA (822 nucleotides) under uncultured bacterium. RNAcentral's name for it is "bacterial SSU rRNA". It matches the Rfam family "Bacterial small subunit ribosomal RNA", at positions 8 to 812 of the family's 1533-position model. The record is from RNAcentral.
AGAGUUUGAUCCUGGCUCAGGAUGAACGCUGGCGGCGUGCCUAAUACAUGCAAGUCGAACGCACAGCGAAAGGUGCUUGCACCUUUCAAGUGAGUGGCGAACGGGUGAGUAACACGUGGAUAACCUACCUCAAGGUUGGGGAUAACAUUUGGAAACAGAUGCUAAUACCGAAUAAAACUUCGUAUCGCAUGAUACAAGGUUAAAAGGCGCUACGGCGUCACCUAGAGAUGGAUCCGCGGUGCAUUAGUUAGUUGGUGGGGUAAAGGCCUACCAAGACAAUGGUGCAUAGCCGAGUUGAGAGACUGAUCGGCCACAUUGGGACUGAGACACGGCCCAAACUCCUACGGGAGGCUGCAGUAGGGAAUCUUCCACAAUGGGCGAAAGCCUGAUGGAGCAACGCCGCGUGUGUGAUGAAGGCUUUCGGGUCGUAAAGCACUGUUGUAUGGGAAGAACAGCUAGAGUAGGGAAUGACUUUAGUUUGACGGUACCAUACCAGAAAGGGACGGCUAAAUACGUGCCAGCAGCCGCGGUAAUACGUAUGUCCCGAGCGUUAUCCGGAUUUAUUGGGCGUAAAGCGAGCGCAGACGGUUGAUUAAGUCUGAUGUGAAAGCCCGGAGCUCAACUCCGGAAAGGCAUUGGAAACUGGUCAACUUGAGUGCAGUAGAGGUAAGUGGAACUCCAUGUGUAGCGGUGGAAUGCGUAGAUAUAUGGAAGAACACCAGCGGCGAAGGCGGCUUACUGGACUGUAACUGACGUUGAGGCUCGAAAGUGUGGGUAGCAAACAGGAUUAGAUACCCUGGUAGUCCACACCGUAAACGAUGA